UGAGUUGCAAUAAGGGCUCUACAUAGAUAUUUAUUCGAUCCGCACUUUUCACAUGUCUGAAAGAUGAAGGUCUAGAGAAUGAAGUCCGUGCAACUAUUGAAAAUGAAGCAUAUCAAAUACAAGCACCAGAUAAUAUAUUAGUGCCAGAUGACACGGUCGACAUAGGACAAUUACAACAAGACAACUAUGAACUUGAGGAUAUUUCUAUUGUUGGAAAGUCGGUAU
This 225-nucleotide long non-coding RNA is filed under the name Elaeis guineensis (African oil palm). RNAcentral describes it as "long non-coding RNA (EGUI_LNC041930)". Lineage: Eukaryota; Viridiplantae; Streptophyta; Magnoliopsida; Arecales; Arecaceae. The record is from RNAcentral.